CCUACGGGUGGCAGCAGUGAGGAAUAUUGGUCAAUGGACGAGAGUCUGAACCAGCCAAGUAGCGUGACGGAUGACUGCCCUAUGGGUUGUAAACUUCUUUUAUAUGGGAAUAAAAUGUUCCACGUGUGGGAUUUUGUAUGUACCAUAUGAAUAAGGAUCGGCUAACUCCGUGCCAGCAGCCGCGGUAAUACGGAGGAUCCGAGCGUUAUCCGGAUUUAUUGGGUUUAAAGGGAGCGUAGGUGGAUUGUUAAGUCAGUUGUGAAAGUUUGCGGCUCAACCGUAAAAUUGUAGUUGAAACUGGCAGUCUUGAGUACAGUAGAGGUGGGCGGAAUUCGUGGUGUAGCGGUGAAAUGCUGAGAUAUCACGAAGAACUCCGAUUGCGAAGGCAGUUCACUGGACUGCAACUGACACUGAGGCUCGAAAGUGUGGGUAUCAAACAGGAUUAGAUACCCUAGUAGUC
Molecule: ribosomal RNA, 460 nt
Filed under: uncultured bacterium
Lineage: Bacteria
Description: partial 16S ribosomal RNA
Rfam family: Bacterial small subunit ribosomal RNA
Source: RNAcentral